GAUGAACGCUGGCGGCGUGCCUAAUACAUGCAGGUCGAGCGAACAGACGAGGAGCUUGCUCCUCUGACGUUAGCGGCGGACGGGUGAGUCACACGUGGAUAACCUACCUAUAAGACUGGGAUAACUUCGGGAAACCGGAGCUAAUACCGGAUAAUCUAUUGAACCGCGUGGUUCAAUAGUGAAAGUCGGUUUUGCUGUCACUUAUAGAUGGAUCCGCGCCGCAUUAGCUAGUUGGUAAGGUAACGGCUUACCAAGGCGACGAUGCGUAGCCGACCUGAGAGGGUGAUCGGCCACAUUGGAAGUGAGACGCGGUCCAGACUACUACGGGAGGCAGCAGUAGGGAAUCUUCGGCAGUGGGCGAAAGCCUGACGGAGUAACGCCGAGUGAGUGAUGAAGGUCUUCGGAUCGUAAAACUCUGUUAUUAGGGAAGAACAAAUGUGUAAGGAACUAAGCACGUCUUGACGGUACCUAAUCAGAAAGCCACGGCUAACUACGUG
RNAcentral lists this ribosomal RNA (497 nucleotides) under uncultured bacterium. RNAcentral describes it as "partial 16S ribosomal RNA". It matches the Rfam family "Bacterial small subunit ribosomal RNA", at positions 28 to 507 of the family's 1533-position model. The record is from RNAcentral.